This 429-nucleotide ribosomal RNA is filed under the name Gemmatimonadota bacterium. Its description in RNAcentral is "Gemmatimonadetes bacterium partial 16S ribosomal RNA". It matches the Rfam family "Bacterial small subunit ribosomal RNA", at positions 355 to 776 of the family's 1533-position model. The record is from RNAcentral. Lineage: Bacteria; Pseudomonadati; Gemmatimonadota.
UAGGGAAUCUUCGGCAAUGGACGAAAGUCUGACCGAGCAACGCCGCGUGAGUGAAGAAGGUUUUCGGAUCGUAAAACUCUGUUGUUAGAGAAGAACAAGGACGUUAGUAACUGAACGUCCCCUGACGGUAUCUAACCAGAAAGCCACGGCUAACUACGUGCCAGCAGCCGCGGUAAUACGUAGGUGGCAAGCGUUGUCCGGAUUUAUUGGGCGUAAAGCGAGCGCAGGCGGUUUCUUAAGUCUGAUGUGAAAGCCCCCGGCUCAACCGGGGAGGGUCAUUGGAAACUGGGAGACUUGAGGGCAGAAGAGGAGAGUGGAAUUCCAUGUGUAGCGGUUAAAUGCGUAGAUAUAAGGAGGAAUACCAGUGGCGAAGGCGGCUCUCUGGUCUGUAACUGACGCUGAGGCUCGAAAGCGUGGGGAGCAAACAGG